Molecule: ribosomal RNA, 492 nt
Filed under: uncultured bacterium
Lineage: Bacteria
Description: partial 16S ribosomal RNA
Rfam family: Bacterial small subunit ribosomal RNA
Source: RNAcentral
AGUGAACGCUGGCGGUAGGCCUAACACAUGCAAGUCGAACGGCAGCACAGUAAGAGCUUGCUCUUACGGGUGGCGAGUGGCGGACGGGUGAGGAAUACAUCGGAAUCUACUUUUUCGUAGGGGAUAACGUAGGGAAACUUACGCUAAUACCGCAUACGACCUACGGGUGAAAGCAGGGGAUCUUCGGACCUUGCGCGAUUGAAUGAGCCGAUGUCGGAUUAGCUAGUUGGCGGGGUAAAGGCCCACCAAGGCGACGAUCCGUAGCUGGUCUGAGAGGAUGAUCAGCCACACUGGAACUGAGACACGGUCCAGACUCCUACGGGAGGCAGCAGUGGGGAAUAUUGGACAAUGGGCGCAAGCCUGAUCCAGCCAUACCGCGUGGGUGAAGAAGGCCUUCGGGUUGUAAAGCCCUUUUGUUGGGAAAGAAAAGCAGCAGGUUAAUACCCCGCCGUUCUGACGGUACCCAAAGAAUAAGCACCGGCUAACUUCGUG